This 497-nucleotide ribosomal RNA is filed under the name uncultured bacterium. RNAcentral's name for it is "partial 16S ribosomal RNA". It matches the Rfam family "Bacterial small subunit ribosomal RNA", at positions 28 to 507 of the family's 1533-position model. The record is from RNAcentral.
GAUGAACGCUGACGGCGUGCCUAAUACAUGCAAGUAGAACGCUGAAGGAAGGAGCUUGCUCUUUCCGGAUGAGUUGCGAACGGGUGAGUAACGCGUAGGUAACCUGCCUGGUAGCGGGGGAUAACUAUUGGAAACGAUAGCUAAUACCGCAUAACAGUAGAUGUUGCAUGAUAUCUACUUAAAAGGUGCAAUUGCACCACUACCAGAUGGACCUGCGUUGUAUUAGCUAGUUGGUGAGGUAACGGCUCACCAAGGCGACGAUACAUAGCCGACCUGAGAGGGUGAUCGGCCACACUGGGACUGAGACACGGCCCAGACUCCUACGGGAGGCAGCAGUAGGGAAUCUUCGGCAAUGGACGGAAGUCUGGCCGAGCAACGCCGCGUGAGUGAAGAAGGUUUUCGGAUCGUAAAGCUCUGUUGUAAGAGAAGAACGAGUGUGAGAGUGGAAAGUUCACACUGUGACGGUAUCUUACCAGAAAGGGACGGCUAACUACGUG